AUGACCUUGAUUUUUAAUAGAGAUAUAGUAGAAUCGGAUAUAGUGCGAGAAGCCAAUGGUAUUGCAAUGAGAUCUCAUAAUAUCAGUCUAUCCCAUGAGGAAAGGGAGAAGGCAUUAUCCAUUAGUAGAUCACUAGUAAAUGUUAGAACUGCCACAUUGAAUAAUAGCAAUAGUGCUGGUGAACGUAUAAAGGAUCAAAUAGUGCAAACACUGACUGAAGCUGGUGGUCAGGUUGAUUAUGUUGAGGCUCACCGUGGUGUUCGGGCUGCUUGCCAUGCCAACCGGAGCGCCCAUACACGUGUUCAAGAACCUCCGGUGUGCGGCGACUGCCAUGCCGCAAUCAAGAUGGUCGCCAAGGCGUACAACAGAGAGAUGAUACGGCCAUGCCAUGAAGGUUGCAGAGCAUAA
RNAcentral lists this ribosomal RNA (408 nucleotides) under Triticum aestivum (bread wheat). Its description in RNAcentral is "partial small subunit ribosomal RNA". Lineage: Eukaryota; Viridiplantae; Streptophyta; Magnoliopsida; Poales; Poaceae. The record is from RNAcentral.